This 450-nucleotide ribosomal RNA is filed under the name uncultured bacterium. RNAcentral describes it as "partial 16S ribosomal RNA". It matches the Rfam family "Bacterial small subunit ribosomal RNA", at positions 338 to 795 of the family's 1533-position model. The record is from RNAcentral.
CCUACGGGGGGCUGCAGUGGGGAAUAUUGCGCAAUGGGCGAAAGCCUGACGCAGCGACGCCGCGUGGGUGAUGAAGGCCUUCGGGUUGUAAAGCCCUGUCGGGUGGAACGAACGAUCUGGCGGCGAAUAACCGCCGGGUGUGACGGUACCACCGAAGGAAGCCCCGGCUAACUACGUGCCAGCAGCCGCGGUAAGACGUAGGGGGCGAGCGUUGUUCGGAUGUACUGGGCGUAAAGCGCGCGUAGGCGGCGAAAUCCGUCGGCUGAGCCGAGGUCCGGCAUCCGAGACUGUCUGGCUCGAGUCUGGGGGAGGAAAGCGGAAUUCCCAGUGUAGCGGUGAAAUGCGUAGAUAUUGGGAGGAACACCGGUGGCGAAGGCGGCUUUCCGGACUAGUACUGACGCUGAGGCGCGAAAGCUAGGGGAGCGAACGGGAUUAGAUACCCCGGUAGUC